Molecule: transfer RNA, 74 nt
Filed under: Capra hircus (goat)
Lineage: Eukaryota; Metazoa; Chordata; Mammalia; Artiodactyla; Bovidae
Also listed under: 1 other name
Rfam family: tRNA
About the family: Transfer RNA (tRNA) molecules are approximately 80 nucleotides in length. Their secondary structure includes four short double-helical elements and three loops (D, anti-codon, and T loops).
Source: Rfam by way of RNAcentral
UUCCUGGCAGUCCAGUGGUAAGGACUCUGCGCUUACACUGCAGCAGGGCCUGGGUUUGAUCCCUGGUCAGGAAA